CGCAACCCUUGUCUUUAGUUACCAGCACGUUAUGGUGGGCACUCUAAGGAGACUGCCGGUGCAAACCGGAGGAAGGUGGGGAUGACGUCAAGUCAUCAUGGCCCUUACGGCCUGGGCUACACACGUGCUACAAUGGUCGGUACAAAGGGUUGCCAAGCCGCGAGGUGGAGCUAAUCCCAUAAAACCGAUCGUAGUCCGGAUCGCAGUCUGCAACUCGACUGCGUGAAGUCGGAAUCGCUAGUAAUCGUGAAUCAGAAUGUCACGGUGAAUACGUUCCCGGGCCUU
Molecule: ribosomal RNA, 285 nt
Filed under: uncultured Pseudomonas sp.
Lineage: Bacteria; Pseudomonadati; Pseudomonadota; Gammaproteobacteria; Pseudomonadales; Pseudomonadaceae
Description: partial 16S ribosomal RNA
Rfam family: Bacterial small subunit ribosomal RNA
Source: RNAcentral